RNAcentral lists this long non-coding RNA (14859 nucleotides) under Nicotiana benthamiana. Its description in RNAcentral is "long non-coding RNA (NBEN_LNC024100)". The record is from RNAcentral. Lineage: Eukaryota; Viridiplantae; Streptophyta; Magnoliopsida; Solanales; Solanaceae.
CAACAUUCAGGAUUACCUCCUUCUUCUUUAACGCCCCAUAGCUCCCUUCUUCUUCAUAAUCAAAAACAGGGAAAAAAAUCCUAGGGAACAACAUAGAAGACCUAACACAAAACCCUAGAGACCAAGACAACAACCAGCCGCCGCUACCAAUCCUAAUGGAACGCACAUACAGACGUCGCUGCCACCAAUCCUAACGCCUCCCCAUUUUAGAUUCUAUCAAAAUUCACUCUCUCAAAAUUGAAAAGAUCACAUACAUAUAGAAAUAGGAAAUCCAACAACCUCUGUCCGUCAAAAAAUAUUUUUGGCUGCGAAAGGAGAAAUAUUCUGCCUUCUUCAUAUUUUAAUUUUCGUUUUGAAGUUGGAAUUUGUUUAAAGUUUGAGUUUGCGAUCGGGUUUGGGUUCAAGAUCUGGUACCGAUCGAGAUCCUAUCCAGGGUUCGCGGUUUCAAUUUAGCUCGUGGUUCCUACUCAUUUGUAUUGGUGCUUCUUAAACAAAUUUUUGGAGCCGAACUUUGAAAUUGUCGAUCUCUUCUACCACUAUUAAAUUUUUUGCUUCAACAGGUUCAUUUCUUUCCCUUCACUUAAUAUGGAUUAUUGUGAAUCAAACUUUAGGAGAGCCAUUAAAAGAUAGCUUAAAAUCAGUAGUGAUUUCUAUGAUCUCGUUUAAUUCCUUGAGCCAAAAUUAUGUUGCACUAAUUGAGAUUCCUUUGAGUUUUAUUCCUUAGUAAAAUUUCUAGUUUGAGUGAAUUUAACUUGUAUUCAAAUUUUUAGUCAUACUGCUUUCACAUUGAAUUUGCAAUUAGUUGCUUGAGGUAUUUUUGAUAAAUGAAGUAAAGUCUUCUGUGCACUUUUUUUCUUUCCGUAAGUAAUGGCAUGAGUAUUUAAAGGUCUUCAUAAUUCACUUAUAAGGGUAUUCGAAAUAAUCAUGUGUUUUAGUGAUUUAACUUAAAAGUAUUUGAAUUAUUGUACUAAUUCACUGUUUGAGUCGAAUAUAAUUACCAAUUCAUCUUAUAGUUGAUAUAAUGUUCCAAUUUAAUUGGUAAAAUGCCUUGAAUGUUGGAUUUACCAUACAAUUUUAAGAUUUUAUCCUUUCGGUGGUUUUUUUGAGAAUUCCUAUUUUUAUAAGUACUUGGGUAGGCUAGCUAUAUGAUUUUGUUAGUUUCGAGGCGAGAAGUCAUUAUCUUAGUUGAAUUUAUCCGGAAAAUGCCCCGAAGAAUUUGUAUAUAUUUUAUUCGGGGUAUGCCCCGAAUUAUUUGUAUUUGGAGGCGGAAAGUAAAACUCUUGGUAUUUUUAUUUUCGUUUUUUUUAUUAGGCGGGGACGACCUCAAGCCUCUUGUGUGUUUAUUUUUACCUCAAUUUGGCUAUUUUAAAAGCCAACUAGAUCGAGUGUGCAACCGUACUUGUUACGGGACUUGGGAAGUGCCUAACAUCUUCUCCCGAGUCAAAUGAAUCCACUUACCCGAAUCUCUGAUGCAGACUUACUUUUGAGUCCAAAGUGUUUUAAAAGGAAAACCAGUUUUAAAAAGGGUGAUCUGGCAAACCGAAACCAAUGUCAAGUGUCGACUCUGAGUUAUUUCCUUUUGAAUAUAAUUUUGUCACUUUUUAAUUAAAAACCCUUUUAAGCUUCAUAAAAUCUUUUUAUUAUUUUUAAGAGGGUUAAGUGAGGUUUGUAAAAAAAGGAUGUGACUAGCCUCAAAAUCAAGGACAUACUCUCAUCACAGAAGGUAAAGGCAGGAGUUUCAAAGGAGUUCGAGCAACUAUGGUAGAUCCAGAGCUCGUGGAAAUACUAAGAAUCGAUCCAGAUCAAGAGCCAUAAAUUGCUACAAUUGUUAUUAAACUAGGUUACUUCAAAAGAGAUUUUCCAAAACAAGGAAGGACAAAGGUGAAACCAGUGGCCAGAAGAAUGACGACAACAUAACCUCCAUAAUACAAAACAAUGAAAAUGUUGUUAUUUUCAUAAAUGAGGGGGAGAAAUGCAUCCAUUUGACAGAUCCAGAGUCAGAAUGGGUGGUUAAUGCAAUAACAUCUUACCAUGCCACACCGGUAAGAGAUUUUUUUGUAGAUAUGUAGCAGAUGAUUUUGGUACUGUGAGAAUGAGUAACACAAGUUGCUCAAAGAUUGCAGGGAUUGGUGACAUUUGUAUCAAGACAAAUAUCUGAUGCACAUCGGUUCUAAAGGACGUGCAGCGUGUACUUGAUUUGCAGAUAAACUUGAUCUCGAAAAUUAUUUUAGACCGAGAUAGUUACGAGAAAAAUAUUUUGCAAAUCAAAAGUGAAGACUCACCAAGGGAUUAUUGGUGAUUGAAAAGGGAGUUUGUCGUGGCACGUUAUACAAGACAAAUGCAAAAAUAUGCCAAGGUGAAUUGAACGCGACACAGGAUGAGAUUUCUAUAGAUUUGUGGCACAAAAGAAUGGGUCAUAUGGGCGAGAAGGAAUUGCAGAUUCUUUCCAGAAAAUCACUCAUCUCUUUUGCCAAAGGUAAAACGACAAAACCUUGUGACUAUUGUUUAUUUGAUAAGCGGCGUAGUUCAAACAUUGUAUGAAAGAAAAUUAAAUAUACUUGAUUUAGCAUAUUCUGAUGUUUGUGGUAAAAUAAAAAUUGAAUCGAUGGGUGAUAACAAAUAUUUUGUUACUUUUUUUGAUGAUUCCUCACGUAAAUUAUGGGUUUAUAUCUUGAAACCAAAGAUUAGGUGUUUCAAAUUUUGCAGAAGUUUCGUGCUCUCUUGGAAAAGGAGAUGGGUUGAAAGCUAAAGCGUCUCCAAAGAGACAAUGGAGGUGAGUACACUUCAGGGAAUUUAAAGAGUAUUGUUCAAGUUAUAGGAUCAGACAUGAAAAACACAGUUCCUGAAACCCUACAACAUAAUGGCGUAGCAGAGAGGAUGAACCACACCAUUGUUGAGAAGGUGAGAAGCAUGCUCAGAAUAGCUAAAUUGCCUAAGACAUUCUGAGGUGAAGCAGUUCAGACAAUUUGUUACCUAAUCAAUAGAAGUCCAUCGGUUCCAUUGAAAUUUGACAUCCCAGAGAGACUUUGGAUCAACAAGGAAGUGUCUUACUCACAUCUAAAGGUGUUCAGUUGCAGAGCUUUUGCACAUGUACCAAAAAAGAAGAGAACAAAAUUGGAUGAUAAAUUCGCUCCUUGCAUAUUCAUCAGAUAUGGAGAAGAAGAGUUCGGGUACAAAUUGUGAGAUCCUGUAAAGAAGAAGGUCACUAGAAGCAGAUAUGUAGUCUUCCGAGAAAGUGAAAUUGGAAUUGUAGAUGACCAGUCAGAGAGAACAAAUAGUGGUAUAAUACCUAACCUUGUUACCAUUCCUUCUUCUAACUAUCCCACAAGUGUAGAAAGUAUGACCGACGUGGUUGCCGAGCAGGGGGAGCAACCUGGUGAGGUUAUUGAGAAGGGAGAGCAACUUGAUGAUGAUGUCGAGCAAUUGGAGUACCCCACUCAGGAAGAAGAACAACCUCAACUUCUAAGGAGAUCAGAUAGGACAAGGGUAGUCAUGCAGGUAUCCCUCUAUAGAGUAUGUCCUCAUCAGUUAUGAGGGGGAGACAAAAAAUCUUAAAGAUGUGUUGUCCCAUCCAGAAAAGAACCAGUGGAUGAAAGCCAUGAAAGAAGAGAUGGAAUCUAUACAGAAAAAUGGCACGUAUAAGCUGGUUGAACUUCCAAAGGGUAAACGAUCACUCAAAUGUAAGUGGGUCUUUAAACUCAAGAAAGAUAGAAAUGGAAAACUAGUCAGAUACAAAACUCGGUUGUUGGUUAAAGGCUUCGAACAAAAUAAAGAUAUUGAUUUGACAAAAUUUUCCCAUUCGUUGUCAAAAUGACUUCCAUUCGAACAAUUUUGAGUUUAGUAGCUAGCCUAGAUCAUGAAGUGGAGCAGUUGGAUGUGAAAACUACAUUUCUUCAUGGAGAUUUAGAAGAGGAGAUUUAUAUAGAGUAGCCAGAAGGAUUUGAAAUAGCUGGAAAGAAACAUAUGUCGUGCAAAUUGAAUAAGAGUCUUUAUGUGUUGAAGCAUGCACCAAGGCGUUGACACAAGAAGUUUGACUCAUUCAUGAAAAGUAAAACUUACAUAAAGACAUAUUCUGAUCCAUGUGUUUACUUUAAAAGAAUUUCUGACUAUAAUCUUAUUAUUUUAUUGUUAUAUGUAGAUGACAUGUUAAUUGUAGGAAAAAAUAAGGAGUUGAUUGCAAAAUUGAAGGGAGAUUUGUCCAAGUCAUUUGAUAUGUAGGACUUGGGCAUAGCACAACAAAAUUUGGGUAUUAAGAUAAUUCGAGAAAGAACAAGCAGAACGUUGUGGCUGUCUAUGGAAAUGUACAUUGAACGUGUACUAGAAUACUUAAACAUGAAGAAUGCUAAGCCAGUCAACACACCGCUUUGGAUGAUCUGAUCCAAUCUUGAAGGGCUAUACAUAUGCUGAUAUGGGAGGUGACAUUGAUAAUAUAAAAUCCACUACUUGAUAUUUGUUUACAUUUUCAAGGAGAGCUAUAUCAUUGUAGUUGAGGUCACAGAAGUGUGUCACAUUUUCUAUAACUGAAGCGGAGUAUGUUGCCACUACUGAAGCUGGCAAGGAGAAGAUAUGGUUGAAACUGUUCCUUCAAGAGCUUGGAUAGCAUCAAAAGGAAUAAGUCAUUUAUUAUGAUAGUCAAAGUGCAAUAGACCUUAGUAAGAACUCAUACCAUGCAAGGACCAAACACAUCGACGUGAGAUAUCACCAGAUUCGAGAAAUGGUAGAGAAUGAAUCUCUAAAGUCUUGAAGAUUUCUACAAUUGAGAAUCCCGCAGAUAUGCUGAUGAAGGUGGUACCAAGAGACAAGUUCAAAUUGUGCAAAGAACUUGUGGUUAUGCACAAGCUAGAAGUCUGAUAUUACCUCCUUCAGGUGAAUGUGUCUGAAUGUGGAGAUUGUGGGGUCCAUCCCCAUAAUGAAAAAAAACAAAGAGAAAUUUGCAAGAUGCCAAAUUGGAUUUGGCAAAAAGUGGGCUAUCAGAUCACCGAAACAAGUUUUGACAAAACUUGGUUUUGAUAUCAAUUUGCAAGAAUCAAAUUGGCAAGAUGCAACAAUGCAAGCUUAUCAUUGGUUGAAAGUGAGGCCAUUGAUUACCGUGAAUAUUAUUUCUGUGAGGGUUUAUUCCCAAUAGAAUCAAACAACUCUUAUAGAUAGAUGUGAUAGGAAGGAAGAACCAUUGAUAUCAUUUGCAACUGCUUGUUUCUGAUUGAUAUACAAGCAAUUGGGUGCGAGUAGAGAAUUUCAGUGUCGGCUUACAUAUAAAUUACGUACUAUCUUCUUACUGACAAUUGGAACGUUUUAGUUGAAUAGAAAUAUUAGAGUUUAGGCAUUAAUGUAGUUUGUGCAAUAUGGUAUUUUUUUUCCAUAUCUUGUAACUUCAAAAAAAUGCCCUAUCGAGGGAGUCUCCAACUCUACAUCUAUCUACUAUUAAGAAAGGAAGGGGAUAGGGUUUGAGUUACCCAGCGAAGUAACAAACAAGGUUCGGAAUAUAAGAAGUUGUCUCUGUUGGUAUUUUUUAUAAUGCAAAGUCAAAACUUCUUUACAACCAAUAGUCAUGGGUCUUCUUAUUUUUCAAUCUAUUUCCAAGUGUCUUCUUGUAUGAAGCCUUAAAGUCAAGAGUUGAAUAACUUUGACAAGUGGCUAUGCAAAUCUACCAUGUGUCUUCAUGCAUGGAAGCCUAGGUACAAUUGUUAAAUGGACUAAUAUAUUUGGAUAAGUGUUAAAAGACUAUCCACACAUGUCAUGCAUGAAACUUCCCUAAUUUCCCAUAAAUAAGAUGAUUAUUAGCCAUCAUAUUCACUCAAUUUUUAACCAAGAAUUCAUCUUGCUAAUCAUCACUUUCUUCCUAAAAUAUUUUAAUUUCUAUAAAAACUAUAGAAAAAACCUUCACCUCCCCUUCUUUUUGGGCAACUGUUUUGUGCAAAUUCUAAAUUUCUAGCCACGAGUGAACGUGUUUGGAGGUGCUGUGGAACCUUGGGGAAAGACCGGUCUUAACGAUUUGCACCCAAUCCGAAAGACCUUGUUUUUAGUCAAUAUUAUCUACUCAUUUAACUUACAAUUUGAAAGCGAUUUCAUAUAUAAUAUUGACUAAUAACCACCAUUUUGAAUAAAACACUUCCUGAUAUAUCAAGGCUUGAGCCUUUAGACGGAAAUAAUUAUAAGUGUUUGUCCCAUAAACUUUUAAUUUUCUUUGAACUAUUAGAAGUUGAUUAUAUUUUAUUUAACGAUCCUUCUGCUGAUAUUGUUACUGAUAAUUCUAAUUUUGCUUAAUGACUAACCAUCUCUUUGAUUUUUUCAUAAAUUAUAAAUAUGCUGAAGUCAUAUGGGAUAGUUUGGAGAAGAAAUAUGGUGCUGAUGACGUGGGAAAAAGGAAAUAUGUCGUUGGAAAGUGGAUCAAGUUUCAGAUGGUUGAUGAUAAGCCAAUCAUGGAACAUGUUCACGACUAUAAGAACUUGAGUGUUGAUGUUUUGAACGAGGGCAUGGAGAUGUGUGAGAUUCUUCAAGCUAAUGUUCUGGUUGAAAAGUUUCCACCUUCCUAGAGUGAUUACAUGAAUCAACUGAAGCACAAGAAGAAAAACUUAACUCUUCAAGAACUGACCGGCCACAUAUGGAAUGGAGAAGCAAACCAUCUCAAAGAUGAGGAGUCUGAACAGCUUAAGGAUAAGAUGAAAUCUCUCUUUCUCUUAAUUAUUCUACAGCUAGCCAUGUGGAAUCUUCUAAUACUUUUGUGAAAGACAGGUUUAAAGUAAAACAGAAGAAAGGCCUAAAGAAAGGACAAGUGAAGAAGUAGAAUUACUUCAAUAAGCCAGAGGCCAUAUUCAAAAGUCGAAAGGACCUUGCUAUGUCUUCAGCAAAAUUGGUCACAAGGCUUUUCACUGCAACCAGAGACAAGGACAAAGCUCAAAGAUUGGAGGAAAAACUCCAGUCCAAGCUAACCUAACUAGGGGGGGGGGNNNNNNNNNNNNNNNNNNNNNNNNNNNNNNNNNNNNNNNNNNNNNNNNNNNNNNNNNNNNNNNNNNNNNNNNNNNNNNNNNNNNNNNNNNNNNNNNNNNNNNNNNNNNNNNNNNNNNNNNNNNNNNNNNNNNNNNNNNNNNNNNNNNNNNNNNNNNNNNNNNNNNNNNNNNNNNNNNNNNNNNNNNNNNNNNNNNNNNNNNNNNNNNNNNNNNNNNNNNNNNNNNNNNNNNNNNNNNNNNNNNNNNNNNNNNNNNNNNNNNNNNNNNNNNNNNNNNNNNNNNNNNNNNNNNNNNNNNNNNNNNNNNNNNNNNNNNNNNNNNNNNNNNNNNNNNNNNNNNNNNNNNNNNNNNNNNNNNNNNNNNNNNNNNNNNNNNGGGGGGGGGGGGGGUAAUAUCAUUGUUGUUGUGGUUGUUGAGGCGAACAUGGUGGCUAACAAAACUGACUGGAUAUUGGUGAUAACUAGGGAAUAUGAUGCAUUUUACACUCCUUCAUGAUCAAGUUUUUAUUAGAAAUGUGUAUAAAAUAGUCCCAAAUGCUCACUAGUUGUUCUUGAUGGGAGGUUUAAUCAACAAGGUGACAAAGUGUCAAAAACCAGCUCAAAAGGAGUGAAACUUGCACAAUUACCAAGACAAGACAAAUCUUAGUCAAUCAGGGCCAGUGCGCAUCACACCAUUCUGUCGGUCCGCACAAGUGAUGUUCAAAGAGGUUUUUAUUCAGACCAAAAGGCAAUGUGGCCACAAGGGGUUUUGUGCGUCCGCAUUGGGAUCAUUGCUGUCGCACUUGAUUUAGUACAGUCCACAGAGCCAAGGUUCAGAGAGUGGUGUUUUUUAGGUUGAAGCUCAAUACGAUCCGCGGUCCUUUUUUGUGUGGAUCGCAAUGGAAGCCACCACGGCCGCACUUGAUUUCGUAUGGUAUGCAUUGCCCACGUUCAGAGAGCUUAUUAUUCAAGUUCAGAGCCUUAGUGCCGCCACACUUGUUUUUGUGCGGUCUGCACUAGCCCCCCAGGGAUAUUUUUUUCUAGAAUUUUCAGCCUAGUAUAAAUAGUUUCUUUUCCCAUUUUUAGGGAAUCAGAUAGUUUUGUACUGGGAGCUGCGCUCCUGACUUUGUUUCUUUUACCUAUUUUCAGUAAUUUUGGUGUGAUUUCAACAUUGAAUCUUCAAGUUUAAUUUAGUUAUUAAUUAUUAUGAGUUUAUCUUUAUCUAUUUCUUUAUUUUCAUCAAUAAUUAAUUAUUAGUAGCUAGACCCAUAAGCUAGGUUGUGGCUCAACCCUAGUGUGGGUAAUUGAUGGGUUUUGUGUUUUGAUGAAUGAUUGCCUAUGGAUGUUUGAUAUUUGGGCUAACUUAGGAUUUUAAUUGUUAAUUAGUAUUUGCAAACACUAGUUUAUGCCUAGUAGAUUUUGGCUCUUCUUGAGAAAGAGAGCCUAAGUCCAUGAAAUUAGUCCAAAAAGGAAUUGAGGCAUAUUCAAAAGAUUGAUAGCCUCAAUUAAAGGGUUAAACCUAGAAAUAGUAAUACUCGACUUGAAUCUUGAUUGCUUGUGAAAAUUUACAUACCCGAUUGGUCUUAAGAAAGUCAAUUCAGGCAAAAUCACUUUAACUACUUAGAGGUAUAGAAUGAGUAGGAUCGUGCAAUGGUUAUAUCAUACUCCUUAAAUGUGACAAUCUAGUUUUAGACUCAAGAACCCUCAAUUGACCACCUAGGCGAAAGUCAAUAUCGUAGUUCCUUUUAUCCAUUUGAAACCACUUGCAAUAGAUUGACCGUAGCUUUAUUUAGUCUGAUUAGCAUUGUAGUAUUAUAAAAUUAGAAUUAAAUUCAAAACUAAAAAUAUUUAGAAGUGCAAUUAAGAGCAAAUACACAACUCGACUUUAGAUAGAAAGUCGACUUUAAUAGCUAGCUCCCUGUGGAAAUCGAUCCUGACCUCAUCGGAAAGCUGCUUCAACCUCUCUUUCUACUCAAUAGGAGUGCAGGGUUGGCCUCGAUCACUUUUUAGCACCGUUGUCGGGGAGCUAACAAUUUGGUCUAUCUAUUUAAAUAGUUUUUUGUAUUGUUAUUCUUUCCUUCUUUGUUACUAAUUUGUGUAUGUCACAACUUGAGAUACAAAAUGGCAGUAAAUACUAAUGAACCUCUUGGAAAUGUGCUUGUGGGAGAGGAGGUAGAUGAUUUCGGAGAUAAUGAGGUGCCCUUUUUUACCUCAAGGACAACGUAGAGGCUGCUAGGCCAAUGCUAAUGCCAAUGAGAAUAUCUCAGAUCCUCCUCCGCCACCACCAAGAGUGGCUCAACGAGUGCUUCCAAACCAAGUCCAUGCAAGUGCAAUUGUCCCACCCCAGAUAGGGGCAUGCAAUUUCCAAAUUGCCAAAGUUAUAUUAACAUUGCUGGAGCAACGUGGGUAUUUCACGGGCGCUACCAAUCAAAAUGCUUACAAACAUCUCAAGGGGUUCACGGAUACCUGUUGGGGGAGCAAGCAAACUAAUGUGUCUGAGGAUGCACUUCGGUUGAGACUCUUCCCAUUCUUACUUAGAGGAAUGGAGUUGGAUUUGCUUAAACGACUUCCCAACCAUUCCAUCACUACUUCGGAUGAGUUGGCGGACAAGUUUAUUGCAAUGUUCUUCUCACCGGAGCAUAUGGAAACAUUACGGGAUGAUAUCUUAGCUUUCAAGCAGAAGCCCACCAAACCAUUGCAUGAGAUUUGGGAGAGAUAUAGAACCAUGGUAAAGGAAUGCCCCAACAAUGAUAUGAUCGAGACGAUGCUCCAACAGACUUUAUACUAGGGAAUUAACAUAACAAACCAGUGCAUAGUAAACUAACUUGUAGGGGGAAACUUCAUGAAGAUGUCUUAUGAUGAGACUUGUGACAUUCUUGAUGAGAUGUCUGACACUUCGUCUGCUUGGCAAAGUAAAGCCAAUUUUGGCCCAGGGUGACCCCAUAGUCACUCAUUUGCACAAAGAAUUACAUGAUCAUGGGCAAGAGAUAGCUAAGUUGACAAGAACCAUCAACCAACUAGCAAAGGCACAGUUACAAAAAGUUUAAAAUCCUCUCCAAAUGAAUGCUAUGGAGGGUGUUAACAUAAUAGUAAACCAAAGAAGCAAAGAGGUCAAUAGAACCAAGGGAGUUCGAAUCAAUUUGACAAUGAUUGUGGUGGAUUCCAAGAUGAUGGUUAUGAUGGGCAGAAUGAAGAGGUACAAUAUGUGAAUUAUUAUCAAGGCCAAAGAGGCAACUCUUCCAACCAAUAAUAACAAUGGAGAUCUCAGGGAAAUUGGGGUAAUCAACAACAAGGCAACAACAAUUGAAAUAAUCAACAACAAGGGAAUAAAUAUUGGGGAAACAAUAAUUAAAAUCCAAAUAAGGGCAAUCAAAGCAACAAUCAAAGCAAUCAAGGAAACUGAGGUAACAACAACAACCAGGAUGGAUGGAACAAUAACCUUGGAAAUCAUGGGCAAAUCUUUCAAAGGCCCCCAAUGUACCAACGACCGAGCCAUCCACCACCUUUUCCAUCCCAGGGUCCUAGUUCUUCGAACAAUUAAAUAGGGAGAAUUGAAAUGAUGUUUGAACAGACGAUGAAAAAGAAUGUUGAUUUCGAUGCGCAAUUGGCUUCUCACAAUACUUCAAUCAGGAAUUUGGAGGUUCAGCUAGGCCAAAUCUCACAGUAUUUGAAUACUCACCUUAAGGGCUCUACCGAGUGAUACGGUGGUUAACCCAAAGGGUGGGAACAACCAUGUUAUGGCGGUAACUACUAGGAGUGGACGAGGCGGUGAUGUGAAUGCCUCCAAACAAAAGCAAGCUUUGGGUGAUGAAGCUGAGUUGCAAGAAGAUAAAGUUCCUUUUGUGGUUGAGAAUGUGGUUGAUGAAAAUAUAAAUGAAGAACUGAGGAUUGAUAUUCAAGAUACCGAGGUGGAAACACAAAACGACGUGAACCCAUCUAGGAAACACGUAAUAGCCACGCCAGAGCUGGUUGUGCCAAAAGCCAAGCACCCUUGCCUAGGCCGCCUCCACCUUAUCCUCAGAGGCUAGCCAAGUAGAAAAAUGAGAAUCAGUUCAAAAUGUUAAUUGACAUGAUGAAAAGCUUAUCCAUCAAUGUGCCUUUGGUGGAGGCUUUAAAGUAAAUACAUGGCUAUGCUGAAUUCAUGAAAGAUUUGGUGGCAAAGAAAAGAUCCAUGGACUGUGAAACUAUUAAGAUGACCCACCAAGUUAAUGCUAUAGUACAUUCAAUGGCUCCGAAAUUGGAGGAUCCCGGUGCUUUCACUAUCCCUUGCACUAUUGGAAGUGCAGACUUUGGUAAAGCUUUAUAUGAUUUAGGGGCAAAUAUCAACUUGAUGCCGUACUCAGUUUUCAAGACUUUGGGUAUUAGGACACCGAGGCCAAAUUCCAUGAGAUUGCAAAUGGCGGAUAGAUUAAUGAAGCAACCAUUGGGUAUUGUUGAUGACGUGCUUGUUCGGGUGAACAAAUUUGUCUUGCCAGAUGAUUUUGUGAUCUUGGAUUGUGAGGUAGAUUAUGAAGUCCUGAUCAUAUUGGAAAGACCUUUCCUUGCUACGAGAAAGGCUCUAGUUGAUGUGGAAAUAGGGGAACUCACUUUUUGAGUGGGUGAUAAGAAGGUGGUCUUUCAUGUGUGCAAGUGAAUGAAGUAGCCCAAUUGUACCAAAGUGUGCUUAUUUGUGGAUCUUAUCACAGCUGUGAUAAUUGAUGAUACUAGUGCAAUGAUCAAUGUGGAGGACCCUCUAGAGGCUGUAUUGUUAAAUCUUGAUGUCAAUGACGAUGAGGGUCAUGUGGAGUGCGUGAAUGCUUUACAUGGAAUGUGCUCUUAUUCUUUAUUAGCCUAGGAAACUCUCUUUGGAUCUUGAAAAUAAAAGACUCCUCCUACAAAGCCGUCAAUUGAGGAACCUCUGGUGUUGAAGUUGAAGCCAUUGCCUCCACACCUCAGGUAUGAAUUCUUAGGCCCUAGUUUAACUUUACCAGUUAUUCUUUCCUCUUGGCUUACUAACAUGUAGGUAGAUGCCACAUUGGCGGUGCUCAAAAAGUAGAAGAAGGCAAUUGGAUGGACUUUAGCUGAUACUCGGGGAAUAAGCCUCGCAUUCUGUAUGCACAAGAUUAUUCUUGAAGAUGAUGCAAAACCCUCCUUGGAACAUCAAAGGAUGUUGAAUGAGGCAAUGCAAGAAAAUGUGAAAAAAGAGGUGAUCAAGUGGUUACAUGUCGGGGUUGUGUACCCUAUCUCUGAAAGCUCGUGGACUUUGUCGGUGCAGUGUGUGCCGAAGAAGGGUGGUAUGACCAUAGUGACCAAUGAUAAUAAUGAACUAAUUCCUACCUGGACAGUUACCGGAUGGAGGGUGUGCAUGGAUUUACGCAAGCUGAACAAGGUGACCCCCAAGGAUCACUUCCCAUUGCAUUUCCUUGACCAGAUGCUUGAUCGUAUUGCUGGCGUGCAUUCUAUUGUUUCUUGGAUGUAUUUUUUGGGUACAACCAAAUCUUGAUUGCUCUGAAGGAUUAGUAGAAGACCGCAUUUACUUGUCCAUAUGGCACCUUUUUUUUUAUCGAAUGCCUUUUGAGUUGUGUAAUGCACCGAUGGCAUUCCAACGGUGUAUGAUUGUCAUUUUCACCGAUAUGGUGGAAGAUAUUUUGGAGGUGUUCAUGGAAGACUUUAGUGUGGUGCGUGAUUCAUUUGAUGAAUGUUUGAAAAAUCUGGAUAAAGUGUUAGCCCGUUGUGAAGACACCAUUCUUGUGCUCAAUUGGGUAAAAUGUCACUUCAUGGUUGAGGAGGGCAUAGUGUUGGGUCAUUAAAUUUUAAAGCAUGGCAUAGAAGUUGAUAAAGACAAAAUAUAGGCGAUUUCAAGGAUUCCUUCCCCACUUCUGUCAAGGGAUUAGGAGUUUUCUUGGGCACACAUGGUUCUACUAAAGAUUUAUAAAGUAUUUUUCGAGGGUAGUGAAUCCUUUGUGUAAGCUACUAGAAAGGUAUGCCAAGUUCGUGUUCGAUGAGGAUGUAUGAUAGCAUUUGAACUUAUCAAGCAUAAGUUGACCACUACCCCUAUCAUUACCGCACCCAAUUGGAGCUUGCAUUUUGAGCUCAUGCGCGGCGCGAGGGAUGCUGCGGUUGGGGCAGUUUUGGGUCAAAAAGUGUACAAAAUGUUUCAUCCGGUGUACUACGCGAGUAAGACAUUGAAUGAGGCUCAAAGGAAAUACACGGUGACUGAGAAAGAGUUGUUGGCUAUUGUGUUUAAAAUGGACAAAUUUUGAUCGUAUCUCAUGGGAGCAAAGGUCAUAGUGCACACCGAUCAUGCUACCCUUAGGUACUUGAUGACGAAGAAAGACUCUAAAGCUAGGCUGAUGCGAUGGGUCUUGUUACUUCAAGAGUUUGAUUUAGAAAUUGUGGAUUGCAAAGGUAGUGAAAACCAAGCGGUGGACCACUUGUCCCGCUUGGAAGAGGAAGUAAGGCUGUGUGAUGGCCUAGAGAUCAAUGAUGCAUUUUUCGAUGAGCAGCUACUUUCUGUGUCAAUGAGUGAUAUUCCAUGGUUUGCGGAUGUUGCUAAUUACCUUGUGACUGGCAUUAUAUCGUGUGAACUCUCUUCUAACCAAAGAAAGAAGCUCGAAUAGGAUAGAUUGGAUUUCUAUUGGGAUGAGUUGUACUUGUUCAAGAUUUGCACAGAUGGUGUGAUCCGAAGAUGUGUCCCGUAGGAGGAGCAAUUAAGUAUCUUGGGGGCUAGUCAUUUCUCUCCCUGUGGUGGCCAUCAUGGUGGGGCAAGGACGGCUUCCAAAGUUCUUUGUUAUGGGCUUUAUUAACCAACGUUAUAUAAAUAUUCGAGUGAACUUGUGAAGAAUGUCAAAGAGCGGGUGAAAUUUCGAAGAAAGAUGAGAUGCCUCUCAAUACCAUUCUUGAGGUUGAUAUUUUUGAUGUAUGGGGCAUUGAUUUCAUGGGCAUAUUUGUAAGCUCGUGCAAGAACACCUACAUUCUAGUGGCGGUUGACCAUGUUUCAAAAUAGGUCGAGUUCGUGGCUUUGCCCAAUAAUGAAUCUAGGAGUGUGGUUGUGUUUCUCAAAAAGGUCAUUUUACAAGGUUUGAAACUCCUCGUGCAAUUAUAAGUGAUGAGGGGUCACAUUGUUGCAAUAGAGCUUUUGACACAUUGCUUGCCAAGUAGGGUGCCAGCCAAAAAGUAUCUACUCCUUAUCAUCCUCAGGCAAGUGGCCAAGUUGAAGUCUCAAAUAGUGAAAUCAAGAGUAUUCUAUCUAAAACGGUCAAUUCAAAUAGGACCGAUUGGUCUAAAAAGUUGGAUGAUGCUCUAUGGGCGUAUAGGACUACUUACAAGACUCCGAUUCGUAUGUAUCCGUAUCGGCUGGUGUUUGGGAAAGCUUGCCAUUUAUCGGUUGAGUUAGAGCACAAGGCCAUAUGGGCUUUGAGAAAAUUGAACCUUCAAUGGGAUGUAGCUACAAAUGUUCAGGUGGAGCAGCUUAAUGAACUUGAUGAAUUUCGAUUUCAUGCCUAAUCUAGUUCAUGAUUAUACAAGGAUAAGAUGAAGUACCUUCACGAUAUAUAUGCUUGUGGCAAGGAGUUCAAUGUGGGGGAUUUAGUUCUCUUGUUCAACUCCUGAAUAUGGUUAUUUCCUGGAAAGCUUAAGCCAACAUAGAGUGGGCUUUUGAAGUGGUGAUUGUGACUCCGUUUGGUGUACCUGAUCUGAAGAACCAAAAUGGUAAGGUUUUUAGAGUCAAUGGAUAUAGAGUCAAGCAUUACUUGGGUAAGAUUGAUGACAGCCACAUGGUGGCACUUCUUCUCAAAUGAUUUGAUGGUAACCUAUGCCGUGACACGACGUUACAUUAGGAACUUCUUGGGAGGCAAUCAAUGUGUUUAUCUUUUUGUUUUUCUUUGAUUUUCGUUAUAGUAUAAGAUUUAUUUUUGGACUGAAUUUUUGUGAGAUGUUGCAGGAUUGUGUUGAUG